Ailuropoda melanoleuca (giant panda) is the source of this 107-nucleotide small nuclear RNA. NCBI's taxonomy places the organism in Eukaryota, Metazoa, Chordata, Mammalia, Carnivora, Ursidae. The record is from Ensembl.
GUACUCACUUCAGCAGCACACAUACUAAAAUUGGAACCAUACAGAAAAGAUUAACACAGGUCCUGAACAAGAAUGACAUACAAACUCUUGGAAUGUUUCAUUUUUUU